Molecule: ribosomal RNA, 577 nt
Filed under: uncultured bacterium
Lineage: Bacteria
Description: bacterial SSU rRNA
Rfam family: Bacterial small subunit ribosomal RNA
Source: RNAcentral
AUGGGGAUGCGUCUGAUUAGCUUGUUGGCGGGGUAACGGCCCACCAAGGCGACGAUCAGUAGGGGUUCUGAGAGGAAGGUCCCCCACAUUGGAACUGAGACACGGUCCAAACUCCUACGGGAGGCAGCAGUGAGGAAUAUUGGUCAAUGGGCGAGAGCCUGAACCAGCCAAGUAGCGUGCAGGAUGACGGCCUAUGGGUUGUAAACUGCUUUUAUGCGGGGAUAGGUACCGCAUGAAUAAGGACCGGCUAAUUCCGUGCCAGCAGCCGCGGUAAUACGGAAGGUCCGGGCGUUAUCCGGAUUUAUUGGGUUUAAAGGGAGCGUAGGCCGUCUGAUAAGCGUGUUGUGAAAUGUCGGGGCUCAACCUGGGCAUUGCAGCGCGAACUGUCAGACUUGAGUGCGCGGGAAGUAGGCGGAAUUCGUCGUGUAGCGGUGAAAUGCUUAGAUAUGACGAAGAACUCCGAUUGCGAAGGCAGCCUGCUGUAGCGCAACUGACGCUGAAGCUCGAAAGCGUGGGUAUCGAACAGGAUUAGAUACCCUGGUAGUCCACGCGGUAAACGAUGGAUGUUCGCUGUUUG